UCCGUAGGUGAACCUGCGGAGGGAUCAUUACAAGUGACCCCGGUCUAACCACCGGGAUGUUCAUAACCCUUUGUUGUCCGACUCUGUUGCCUCCGGGGCGACCCUGCCUUCGGGCGGGGGCUCCGGGUGGACACUUCAAACUCUUGCGUAACUUUGCAGUCUGAGUAAACUUAAUUAAUAAAUUAAAACUUUUAACAACGGAUCUCUUGGUUCUGGCAUCGAUGAAGAACGCAGCGAAAUGCGAUAAGUAAUGUGAAUUGCAGAAUUCAGUGAAUCAUCGAAUCUUUGAACGCACAUUGCGCCCCCUGGUAUUCCGGGGGGCAUGCCUGUUCGAGCGUCAUUUCACCACUCAAGCCUCGCUUGGUAUUGGGCAACGCGGUCCGCCGCGUGCCUCAAAUCGACCGGCUGGGUCUUCUGUCCCCUAAGCGUUGUGGAAACUAUUCGCUAAAGGGUGCUCGGGAGGCUACGCCGUAAAACAAACCCAUUUCUAAGGUUGACCUCGGAUCAGGUAGGGAUACUCGCUGAACUUAAGCAUAUCAAUAAGCGGAGGAAAAGAAACCAACAGGGAUUGCCUCAGUAACG
Molecule: ribosomal RNA, 582 nt
Filed under: uncultured fungus
Lineage: Eukaryota; Fungi
Description: eukaryotic LSU rRNA
Rfam family: 5.8S ribosomal RNA (bases 187-340)
Source: RNAcentral